AUACGGAGGGUGCAAGCGUUAUCCGGAUUCAUUGGGUUUAAAGGGUGCGCAGGCGGACUUGUAAGUCAGUGGUGAAAUCCCGGGGCUCAACCUCGGAACUGCCAUUGAUACUGCAAGUCUUGAGUUUGGUUGAAGUGGGCGGAAUGUAGCAUGUAGCGGUGAAAUGCAUAGAUAUGCUACAGAACACCGAUCGCGAAGGCAGCUCACUAAACCAACACUGACGCUCUGGCACGAAAGCGUGGGGAGCGAACAGGAUUAGAAACCCCGGUAGUCC
This 274-nucleotide ribosomal RNA is filed under the name uncultured bacterium. RNAcentral's name for it is "partial 16S ribosomal RNA". It matches the Rfam family "Bacterial small subunit ribosomal RNA", at positions 523 to 796 of the family's 1533-position model. The record is from RNAcentral.